Molecule: ribosomal RNA, 847 nt
Filed under: Salmonella enterica subsp. enterica serovar Durham
Lineage: Bacteria; Pseudomonadati; Pseudomonadota; Gammaproteobacteria; Enterobacterales; Enterobacteriaceae
Description: partial 23S ribosomal RNA
Rfam family: Bacterial large subunit ribosomal RNA
Source: RNAcentral
AGGCCAAUCAAACCGGGAGAUAGCUGGUUCUCUCCGAAAGCUAUUUAGGUAGCGCCUCGUGAAUUCAUCUCCGGGGGUAGAGCACUGUUUCGGCUAGGGGGCCAUCCCGGCUUACCAACCCGAUGCAAACUGCGAAUACCGGAGAAUGUUAUCACGGGAGACACACGGCGGGUGCUAACGUCCGUCGUGAAGAGGGAAACAACCCAGACCGCCAGCUAAGGUCCCAAAGUCAUGGUUAAGUGGGAAACGAUGUGGGAAGGCCCAGACAGCCAGGAUGUUGGCUUAGAAGCAGCCAUCAUUUAAAGAAAGCGUAAUAGCUCACUGGUCGAGUCGGCCUGCGCGGAAGAUGUAACGGGGCUAAACCAUGCACCGAAGCUGCGGCAGCGAACGUAUCACUUAAAGCGAUUCAGCGGGUUACGAUUGACGGAGCGAAGCGACGUCAAAGCGUAUACAAAGUCGAGUCGGUUUAAGGAUACGUUCGUUGGGUAGGGGAGCGUUCUGUAAGCCUGCGAAGGUGGCCUGUGAGGGUUGCUGGAGGUAUCAGAAGUGCGAAUGCUGACAUAAGUAACGAUAAAGCGGGUGAAAAGCCCGCUCGCCGGAAGACCAAGGGUUCCUGUCCAACGUUAAUCGGGGCAGGGUGAGUCGACCCCUAAGGCGAGGCCGAAAGGCGUAGUCGAUGGGAAACGGGUUAAUAUUCCCGUACUUGGUGUUACUGCGAAGGGGGGACGGAGAAGGCUAUGUUGGCCGGGCGACGGUUGUCCCGGUUUAAGCGUGUAGGUGUGUGUUCCAGGUAAAUCCGGUUCACUUUAACACUGAGGCGUGACGACGAGGCACUACGGUGCUGAAG